GGACCCGCACAAGCGGUGGAGUAUGUGGUUUAAUUCGAUGCAACGCGAAAAACCUUACCAAGGUUUGAAAUCAUUUCAAAACUCUUUGAAAGAAGAGCCUCCUUCGGGAUGGAAUGACAGGUGGUGCAUGGCUGUCGUCAGCUCGUGUUGUGAAAUGUCAAGUUAAGUCUUGUAACGAGCGCAACCCAUGUCUUUUGUUGCUGUUUACAGUGCUUAAAAGAGACUGCCGCUCUACAGCGGAGGAAGGUGUGGAUGAUGUCAAGUCAGCAUGCCCCUUAUAUCUUGGGCUACACACGUACUACAAUGGUAGGGACAAUGAGUCGCAAACCUGCGAAGGCUAGCCAAUCUCAAAAACCCUAUCUCAGUUCGGAUUGUACUCUGCAACUCGAGUGCAUG
RNAcentral lists this ribosomal RNA (396 nucleotides) under uncultured bacterium. RNAcentral's name for it is "bacterial SSU rRNA". It matches the Rfam family "Bacterial small subunit ribosomal RNA", at positions 917 to 1322 of the family's 1533-position model. The record is from RNAcentral.